This 253-nucleotide ribosomal RNA is filed under the name uncultured bacterium. RNAcentral describes it as "partial 16S ribosomal RNA". It matches the Rfam family "Bacterial small subunit ribosomal RNA", at positions 524 to 776 of the family's 1533-position model. The record is from RNAcentral.
UACGGGGGGAGCAAGCGUUGUUCGGAUUUACUGGGCGUAAAGGGCGCGUAGGCGGCGUGACAAGUCACUUGUGAAAUCUCCGGGCUUAACUCGGAACGGUCAAGUGAUACUGUCGUGCUAGAGUACAGAAGGGGCAACUGGAAUUCUCGGUGUAGCGGUGAAAUGCGUAGAUAUCGAGAGGAACACCUGCGGCGAAGGCGGGUUGCUGGGCUGAUACUGACGCUGAGGAGCGAAAGCCAGGGGAGCGAACGGG